GCCCUUUAAGAAAGCCUGCCAGAGCUCUGGAACUGGGACUCUUAAGAAACUUCCGUAAUGUGCCAAGUAAAGUGAGAAAGCUCUUCGUGGGGUCAAAAGAGAAGCUACAAGAGGAGGCCCCACGGAAGACUUGGCAGAAGAGAGUGGUAAGGAGUUUCACAUGGAUGGAUCAGAGCCUUUGCCUCACAAGCACGCAUACUUGACAAAGACUUUACCACUAGAGGUAAUAGAGAAGCCAGAGAGAGAGUGAGGAGAAACUACCAGAGAAAUCAUUAUGAAGCAAAUGUUCUCCUUUCUCCAUAACAUGGACUCCAUAGC
Molecule: long non-coding RNA, 318 nt
Organism: Budorcas taxicolor (takin)
Lineage: Eukaryota; Metazoa; Chordata; Mammalia; Artiodactyla; Bovidae
Exons: 3
Source: RefSeq, a predicted model, not a curated record